RNAcentral lists this long non-coding RNA (533 nucleotides) under Lynx pardinus (Iberian lynx). The record is from RNAcentral. Lineage: Eukaryota; Metazoa; Chordata; Mammalia; Carnivora; Felidae.
UUAGUAUUCUUCACCCUGUCCUUCAACAGAAUCCAUUCCAACCUCCUCAUAAUCCUUUUCAAAGGCAGCCAUGUCCUCACGGGCCUCAGAAAACUGUCCUCCAUACUCUCACUCACAUAUCAGUGAACAAAGGCAUGCUUGUCAUACAUUAGGUCAAAUUUGUGGUUCAGGUGAGCUCAGGCCUCACCAGUGGCUGUGGUGUUACUCAGCAUGCACACAGCUCACUGUUCUUUGGUGGGUCUUCACCAUGUACUGCAGUGGGAGGAUGGUAAUUAAUGCCAGCUUUAAGGCACUGGGGCACAAGUCAACAAACUAGAUGGUAUGCUUGGUCUUGAUGGUGGCAGUAGCAGUAUUGACAUCUUUGGGAAUGGUACGAUAGGCAGCAAGCCUUGUAUUUACCAUGGCGAGGGUCACAUUUCAUCCUUUGGUUGGCUGGCUCAAAGCAUACGUUGGUGAUCUCUGCUACAGAAAGCUGUUCACGGUAGGCUUUCUCAGCAGAGAUGACGGGUGUAUGUGGCCAGAGGGAAUUGGAU